Molecule: transfer RNA, 75 nt
Filed under: Chloroflexota bacterium
Lineage: Bacteria; Bacillati; Chloroflexota
Description: Chloroflexi bacterium tRNA-Glu
Rfam family: tRNA
About the family: Transfer RNA (tRNA) molecules are approximately 80 nucleotides in length.
Source: RNAcentral
GGCCCGUUAGUCUAGUGGUUAAGACAGCCGACUUUCCCUCGGUUAACAGGAGUUCGAAUCUCCUACGGGUUACCA